UCAAAACCCUAGUCAAACCUGCAGCUAAAAC
Molecule: non-coding RNA, 31 nt
Filed under: Rattus norvegicus (Norway rat)
Lineage: Eukaryota; Metazoa; Chordata; Mammalia; Rodentia; Muridae
Source: RNAcentral